RNAcentral lists this unclassified non-coding RNA (306 nucleotides) under plant metagenome. RNAcentral's name for it is "partial contains 5.8S ribosomal RNA, internal transcribed spacer 2, and large subunit ribosomal RNA". The stretch from base 1 to 105 matches the Rfam family "5.8S ribosomal RNA", at positions 50 to 154 of the family's 154-position model. The record is from RNAcentral.
GAAAUGCGAUAAGUAAUGUGAAUUGCAGAAUUCAGUGAAUCAUCGAAUCUUUGAACGCACAUUGCGCCCGCCAGUAUUCUGGCGGGCAUGCCUGUCCGAGCGUCAUUUCAACCAUCAAGCCCCCGGGCUUGUGUUGGGGACCUGCGGCUGCCCGCAGGCCCUGAAAACCAGUGGCGGGCUCGCUGUCACACCGAGCGUAGUAGUAAUCACCUCGCUCAGGGCGUGCUGCGGGUUCCGGCCGUUAAACAGCCUUACAAAACCCAAGGUUGACCUCGGAUCAGGUAGGAAGACCCGCUGAACUUAAGC